Molecule: ribosomal RNA, 253 nt
Filed under: uncultured prokaryote
Description: partial 16S ribosomal RNA
Rfam family: Bacterial small subunit ribosomal RNA
Source: RNAcentral
ACAGAGGGUGCGAGCGUUGUCCGGAAUCACUGGGCGUAAAGGGCGCGUAGGCGGCUUGAUAAGGUUGCGGUGAAAGCCUGGGGCUCAACCCCGGGUCGGCCGUGCGAACUGUUUUGCUUGAGCACUGUAGAGGCAGGCGGAAUUCCGGGUGUAGCGGUGGAAUGCUUAGAGAUCCGGAAGAACACCGGUGGCGAAGGCGGCCUGCUGGGCAGUAGCUGACACUGAGGCGCGACAGCGUGGGGAGCAAACAGGA